GAGAAAGUAAUAUGAAAGAAUUGUGAAAUGGAAUGGCCUCAACAAAUAGGUCAAGUGUGUCUAUUGCCAGCUACCAUUCAUCUACUUUGACUGAAAAUGGCCUAUUAUUAAAACAUCAUCUUCCCUUUCCGACUA
Long non-coding RNA from Hibiscus syriacus, 135 nucleotides. RefSeq lists it as uncharacterized. The transcript has 3 exons. The record is from RefSeq and is a predicted model, not a curated record. NCBI's taxonomy places the organism in Eukaryota, Viridiplantae, Streptophyta, Magnoliopsida, Malvales, Malvaceae.